Molecule: non-coding RNA, 1262 nt
Organism: Cyanistes caeruleus (blue tit)
Lineage: Eukaryota; Metazoa; Chordata; Aves; Passeriformes; Paridae
Source: RefSeq, a predicted model, not a curated record
AUAUUUUUUACUUCUUUUUUUAAUAAGGAUUUUUUUUAAAAACGCGAAAGAGCUUUGAAGACUUUUGGGAACAUUCAGCACAUCUGCUGAAUCAGGCUGCCUGUUCCCAAUCAAGCAGUGUUCUGCAAAUGCAAGAGUACAGGCAUCUCCUGAUUCAGAAACCACUAAAGGAAAGGAUGAAUUUUGUCAGGAGUCAAAAGAUCCUGAAUUCCACUCCUAUAGCCAUUGACUGUUGUUUGACUUCAAAGUCCUCCGUACUGACCUAAACCUCAAGCUUCUACCUAGAAGGAGGUCAGGUGAGCAGUAUACAGCAUGCACAUCUACAGAACAUUCAGCGGUGAACUGCAAGAACAGAAAUGACUGAAAGAAUUUGCACAUGGGCAUCAAAAAAUGAAAAGUAUCCAAAUUUAAAAAUAUAUUCACCUCACAAAGCAAGACUCCCCAAAACAAGGAGAAAGAGUCAAAAGAACAGGGCUAAUUUUAAGAUGUUAGUGACCACACUAUUCAGUUUUUAUCCUGUGUCUGUACCUGUGAUAUCUGAGCUCCCUGAGCAUCCCAUCGUAUGUUGGUAGGUUUCUCAACCUUCACUCUUUUCUUCAAGAGAACAGUGUGAAUUUUUUGAUAGGUCAUUUCUGGUUUGGCUUACUCAGUUCAAGGACUUUGCUAGAGUAGGGACCCAUUAAAUAAUUCCGUAGUAUUCUACAUCAUUUCAGUCCUGCCAUCCAUUUUUCAACAAUAAGUUUGCUGCAGUUCCAAUGCUGAGCACUGAAUUUUCAAAGUUACAGUCAGUUGCAGUACUCAUUCAUCAUUGCCAAAGUUAAGCUACCUGGGCUUCACAUGUAAGGGUGUUCUUCAGGAGUCAGAGCUGCCACUGCCUAGCAAAAAAGGAAACCGAUGACUUGGCUGGCAGUAAAGGUACUCCAUGGGUCACAAAUACCAAGUGCCAAGUUAACAAAUUUUUCCCUUCUGGCUAAAAUUUAAUCCAUAUGCUCUGCAUGAAGUUUAUUUUUUGAGAUGGCAUCUGGAGUACAAAAGAGACAUUACAAUAUAAGAGAAAUAUACUGGCAGUAUGUGAAUUUAUUACAAACCUUUAAAUGGCUUUCUAGUUCCCAUUAAGUGCUUUAUGCUUCAGUUAUCAAAAAUUGUCAGAAAUUCCUUAAGAAACCUUUCAAAAACAAUUACAGAGAGGAGAAAAAGUAGCAGGCACAUCAAAGGAGGUAGUAUGCAUCAAAACCUAGUGAUGUUUUCCUUAGAAAGCUUUC